Molecule: non-coding RNA, 82 nt
Organism: Anaerolineaceae bacterium oral taxon 439
Lineage: Bacteria; Bacillati; Chloroflexota; Anaerolineae; Anaerolineales; Anaerolineaceae
Source: Rfam
GGGGGAGUGCUGGAACAGGCAGACAGGCAUGACUUAGGAUCAUGUGCCGUAAGGCGUGAGGGUUCGACCCCCUCCUUCCCUA